Molecule: long non-coding RNA, 1046 nt
Filed under: Marmota monax (woodchuck)
Lineage: Eukaryota; Metazoa; Chordata; Mammalia; Rodentia; Sciuridae
Source: RNAcentral
AGGAAUACAGGGAGUUUUUCAUUAGAAAUUAACAAUUUACGCUCCACAGCUGAAUCAUUGCAUUUAGAGCAAACAGAUCUAUUCUUUAGAAGUAGUUGCAUUAAUUAGGAAAGUCAUGUUUUUUCCUUCAUACUUAAUGGUCAUAUGAGAAGUUGCAACUAUACUUAUUAAAGGAAUACAAAAACAAACCAGCCCAUUCCCAGAAAUAUACCGCGCUCCUCCAGAGGAUGGACGCCUUGCGCCAUCCACCUCAGUAGGGCCUUGCCAUUGCCUGAGUCAGGGGAGGGGCACAGCAACUUAGCAUAAUCUUUUCUAAUGCCAUCCAUUUCCCUGCAAAUGCCAAGAUCUUAUUCUUUUUAGUGCUGAGUAAUAUUCCAUUGUGUAUAAAUGCCACAUUUUUUUUAUCCAUUCCUCCACUGAAGGACAUCUAGGUUGGCUCCACAGUUUAGCUAUUAUGAAUUGUGCUGCUAUAAACAUUGAUGUGGCUGUGUCCCUGUAGUAUGCUGUUUUUAGGUCCUUUGGGUAUAAUCCGAGAAGAGGAAUAGCUGGGUCAAAUGAUAUGGUUCCAUUCCCAGAUUUCCAAGGAAUCUCCAUACUGCUUUCCAAAUUGGCUGCACCAAUUUGCAGUCUCACCAGCAAUAUAUGAGUGUACCUUUGAGCUACAUCCCCAGGCUUGUAAAAAUUUUUUUAAAUUUUGAGACAGGGACUCCCUUUGUUACCCAGGCUGAUCUCCAACUUGUGAUCCUCCUGUCUCAGCCUCCUGUGAAGCCGGAAUUACAAGAGGGUGCCACCAGACCCGCUUGAACUAAUUGUUGUAGUAAAGAAAUUAUGAUGUGAAAACCAGAUUAUGCUGAACAUAAAGCUUUGCAUUGUGGAGUAUAAAGUGGACCUAUUCCUUCAAGGAAGCUUGGUUUGCCUGUAGAACCAGGCAGAGUGUAGUGGUUUGCCUUGGGCAGAGAGGAUAUUUCUGUUCUGAUAAGCCAGUGUCUGGUACGGGUUUCUUUACUCUGAGCCUUCAUGCAGGCCAAGAAGUGUGUUGUGGCCUG